Acyrthosiphon pisum (pea aphid) is the source of this 1406-nucleotide long non-coding RNA. RefSeq lists it as uncharacterized. The record is from RefSeq and is marked predicted. The transcript is spliced from 4 exons. NCBI's taxonomy places the organism in Eukaryota, Metazoa, Arthropoda, Insecta, Hemiptera, Aphididae.
CUGUCAUCUGCGGACUACGAUUUGCAUUUGCAAUUUAGUAUUUUACUCAUUUUAAUUCUGUCGUCCUACUGCCUAUCCACUGUGCUGCUGUUGUGUAUUGCGCGCCGAUCGGCUCGGCCGCGGACCGCGGGCAAUGGACUCGUCUGUCGCCCUGUCGGUUCGUGGUCUCGGGUUGUUCGGUUCUCUUCCUAACUGCUGAUCGUUGGCUCUGGCGCUAAGACUGUCCGACCAUCAUCCAUCCGUCGCUUGCGUAUUCCAUAUUUGCGAUCGCGACGCGUGGCCCGCCAUCUCGAAUGUCCAUUGUCCACCGACUGACGGGUACGGCCACCGCAUCACUCAUUAGCACAGCCUGGCAGUAGCAACAUGACGCCCGGCCACCGCCUCUACGAAAAACAACUUGGUUUUUUAACACACAAAAUGUCAACGUAUCACAUAGUAACAGUAGUUUGGAUAGAUGAAAAAAUGUACAUGCAGAACAGUCUUCUUUAAUACCCUGAAUAGGGUUUUCAUAUUUGAAUCAAAUAAUUACAAUGUUAAUGUGUCAGUCCGUUGUUUUACCAAAUGAUUUGCCAAUUCAUUGUAAAAAAUUUAAGAGUUUAUAGGUCAAAAUCUUAAUACAUACAUUGUUUCAAGAUGCUACCAUCAUCCAUAUUUUAUUUGUUUUCUUUGCUAACUGUCAACAUUGAUUAUUGUUAUAUGGCGUUGCACAUAGAAACACUCAAAUGAGCACUAUAGCAAAUUAGCCUUGACGACAACUGCUCAACAGACUAUACCACAGAACACAUCAUACGCGUCUCAUCCAUCAUCGUUCGGAUACAAUUUUGUGGUAUAUAACAGGCGUAAACACCAGCCCGAAUGUCCUAGGAGAUACCAACUGGUCAAUCUUAUGUGUGUAUUGCUAAAGUAAGUAAAAAAGAAGCAAAUAUUUUACAAAUGCUGCAUUUGUUCAAUCCAUCAUUGUCUUAUGUAAUUAUUUAUAAAAUUUAUGAGUCCUGAUUAUAAGAUAAAUAAUAUUGCUACUUGAUUUCCUUUUUUAUUUUUACUAUUGUUACUAGUGAUAAUGUUUAUUUCUAGGUAAACUACUUAAUUUCUGUUUUUAAAAAUAUAUAAUAAAGAGUUAAAAUAUUGACCAAUCUAAUAUAUAUAUAUUAUAUUAAUGGAAAAAAGUAUUAAAAAUCAAUAUUAUAUUGCAUUUUUUUACAUAAUUUAGUCAAAUUAAGUAUUUCUCAUUUCUCAUUUAGUUAUUAAUUAUUAUUUAUUAUAAAUUUUAUUUUCAAAGAACACUGUGAUACUUUAUUUUAAUUAAACCCUAUUAUUAAAAUUCCAAUAUUUCCCUCACCAGUUAAGUAAGGUAAUAAACUAAACAAUACUAAGUCUCAUUAGUCAUAAAUACUAAAAAAAAAAAA